This 301-nucleotide ribosomal RNA is filed under the name uncultured bacterium. RNAcentral describes it as "partial 16S ribosomal RNA". It matches the Rfam family "Bacterial small subunit ribosomal RNA", at positions 509 to 809 of the family's 1533-position model. The record is from RNAcentral.
CAGCCGCCGCGGUAAUACGUAGGGUGCAAGCGUUAAUCGGAAUUACUGGGCGUAAAGCGUGCGCAGGCGGUUAUAUAAGACAGAUGUGAAAUCCCCGGGCUCAACCUGGGAACUGCAUUUGUGACUGUAUAGCUAGAGUACGGCAGAGGGGGAUGGAAUUCCGCGUGUAGCAGUGAAAUGCGUAGAUAUGCGGAGGAACACCGAUGGCGAAGGCAAUCCCCUGGGCCUGUACUGACGCUCAUGCACGAAAGCGUGGGGAGCAAACAGGAUUAGAUACCCGUGUAGUCCCUGUCUCUUAUAU